This 1348-nucleotide ribosomal RNA is filed under the name Janthinobacterium lividum. Its description in RNAcentral is "bacterial LSU rRNA". It matches the Rfam family "Bacterial large subunit ribosomal RNA", at positions 1584 to 2925 of the family's 2925-position model. Lineage: Bacteria; Pseudomonadati; Pseudomonadota; Betaproteobacteria; Burkholderiales; Oxalobacteraceae. The record is from RNAcentral.
CACGAAGCAAUCGGAAGUGGUUCCAAGAAAAGCCUCUAAGCUUCAGUCAUACGAGACCGUACCGCAAACCGACACAGGUGGGCGAGAUGAGUAUUCUAAGGCGCUUGAGAGAACUCGGGAGAAGGAACUCGGCAAAUUGGUACCGUAACUUCGGGAAAAGGUACGCCCCGGUAGCUUGAUUGGUUUACUCCAUGAGGGUGAAAGGGUUGCAAUAAACUGGUGGCUGCGACUGUUUAAUAAAAACACAGCACUCUGCAAACACGAAAGUGGACGUAUAGGGUGUGACGCCUGCCCGGUGCUGGAAGAUUAAAUGAUGGGGUGCAAGCUCUUGAUUGAAGUCCCAGUAAACGGCGGCCGUAACUAUAACGGUCCUAAGGUAGCGAAAUUCCUUGUCGGGUAAGUUCCGACCUGCACGAAUGGCGUAACGAUGGCCACACUGUCUCCUCCCGAGACUCAGCGAAGUUGAAAUGUUUGUGAUGAUGCAAUCUACCCGCGGCUAGACGGAAAGACCCCAUGAACCUUUACUGUAGCUUUGCAUUGGACUUUGAACCAAUCUGUGUAGGAUAGGUGGGAGGCUUUGAAGCGGGGACGCUAGUUCUCGUGGAGCCAACCUUGAAAUACCACCCUGGUUUGUUUGAGGUUCUAACCUUGGUCCGUUAUCCGGAUCGGGGACAGUGCAUGGUAGGCAGUUUGACUGGGGCGGUCUCCUCCUAAAGUGUAACGGAGGAGUUCGAAGGUACGCUAGAUACGGUCGGACAUCGUGUUGAUAGUGCAAUGGCAUAAGCGUGCUUAACUGCGAGACUGACAAGUCGAGCAGGUACGAAAGUAGGACAUAGUGAUCCGGUGGUUCUGUAUGGAAGGGCCAUCGCUCAACGGAUAAAAGGUACUCUGGGGAUAACAGGCUGAUUCCUCCCAAGAGUUCAUAUCGACGGGGGAGUUUGGCACCUCGAUGUCGGCUCAUCACAUCCUGGGGCUGUAGCCGGUCCCAAGGGUAUGGCUGUUCGCCAUUUAAAGUGGUACGUGAGCUGGGUUUAAAACGUCGUGAGACAGUUUGGUCCCUAUCUGCCGUGGGCGUUGGAAAUUUGAAGGGGGCUGCUCCUAGUACGAGAGGACCGGAGUGGACGAACCUCUGGUGUACCGGUUGUCACGCCAGUGGCAUUGCCGGGUAGCUAAGUUCGGAAGAGAUAACCGCUGAAAGCAUCUAAGCGGGAAACUUGCCUUGAGAUGAGAUUUCCCAGAGCCUUGAGCUCUUUGAAGGGUCGUUCGAGACCAGGACGUUGAUAGGCUGGGUGUGGAAGUGCAGUAAUGCAUUAAGCUAACCAGUACUAAUUGCCCGUACGGCUUGUCC